This 333-nucleotide unclassified non-coding RNA is filed under the name Hevea brasiliensis (rubber tree). The record is from RNAcentral. Lineage: Eukaryota; Viridiplantae; Streptophyta; Magnoliopsida; Malpighiales; Euphorbiaceae.
CACUGCUGGCUCUAUUUCUUACAACUCACCCCCAAUUUCACCUUCGAAUCCUUUCACUGGUAAGAGUUCACUCAUCCUCUUCAUGGUGGCGCUUCUUGCUCCGCUUCUCAGAUCGCUUUGUACCCCUUCCAACCCGUGAGUCAUCAGAGCCACUCAAGUCAGAAUCAGAUGGAGAUGCUGGCUUCCUGCUCUUUCGCCUGUGCCUUCUACCAGAGUCAUCAGAAGCAUCUGAUUCAGAAUCAUCAGAAUAUCUAUGACUUCUCCUCCUCCUCUUCUCCUUCCUGCUCUUCCUCUUGUGGCGCCGCCUAUCUUCCUCCUCUGAAGAAGACUCAU